UACAGAGGGGGCAAGCGUUGUUCGGAAUUACUGGGCGUAAAGGGCGCGUAGGCGGCCUUCUAAGUCGAACGUGAAAUCCCUCGGCUUAACCGGGGAACUGCGUCUGAUACUGGAUGGCUUGAGUUUGGGAGAGGGAUGCGGAAUUCCAGGUGUAGCGGUGAAAUGCGUAGAUAUCUGGAGGAACACCGGUGGCGAAGGCGGCAUCCUGGACCAACACUGACGCUGAGGAGCGAAAGCCAGGGGAGCAAACGGG
This 253-nucleotide ribosomal RNA is filed under the name uncultured bacterium. RNAcentral's name for it is "partial 16S ribosomal RNA". It matches the Rfam family "Bacterial small subunit ribosomal RNA", at positions 524 to 776 of the family's 1533-position model. RNAcentral also lists the same sequence under 1 other name. The record is from RNAcentral.